This 406-nucleotide ribosomal RNA is filed under the name uncultured bacterium. RNAcentral's name for it is "bacterial SSU rRNA". It matches the Rfam family "Bacterial small subunit ribosomal RNA", at positions 355 to 776 of the family's 1533-position model. The record is from RNAcentral.
UGGGGGAUAUUGCACAAUGGGGGAAACCCUGAUGCAGCGACGCCGCGUGAGUGAAGAAGCAAUUCGUUGCGUAAAGCUCUAUCAGCAGGGAAGAAGAAAUGACGGUACCUGAAUAAGAAGCCCCGGCUAACUACGUGCCAGCAGCCGCGGUAAUACGUAGGGGGCAAGCGUUAUCCGGAUUUACUGGGUGUAAAGGGAGCGUAGACGGCAGUGCAAGUCCGAUGUGAAAACCCGGGGCUCAACCCUGGGAGUGCAUUGGAAACUGUACGGCUGGAGUGCAGGAGAGGUAAGCGGAAUUCCUGGUGUAGCGGUGAAAUGCGUAGAUAUUAGGAGGAACACCGGUGGCGAAGGCGGCUUACUGGACCGUAACUGACGUUGAGGCUCGAAAGCGUGGGGAGCAAACAGG